UUUUUUUGGCGUGGCAAGUUUCAAUAUGAAUCUGCCAUGCCAAUUUUCUUGUUCAUGGCCAAUUUAGCUUACGUGAAUUUCUCGUGGCGAGUUUUGAUAUGAAUCUGUCAUGGCAUUUUUCUUGUUCAUACUUGAUUUUCAAAUUUUUAUUUUUUUUCACACAUGGCAAAUUCAUCAUACAAACACACGGCAAUUCUUGAUACGAAUUUGCCAUGUCAAGUUUCUUGUUUCAUACUUGAAUCUCCAAUUUUUAUGUUUUUCACACAUGAUAAAUUCAUCUUACAAAACAUGGCAAUUCUUUGAUACCAAUCUGCCAUGGCAAAUCUCUUUUUGUUCAUACUUGAUUUUUUAACCUUUUGUGUUUUUUCUCACGCACGGCAAAAAAUCUCCUUGAAAACACUGCAAUUUUAAUUGCCAUUGUAUUUUUAUCUUUUUUUUGUCCUAUCAAUUUUUUGUGUUUUUUUCACAUGAAUUUUUCAACUAUUUGUGUUUUUUUUCACAUGGCAAUGUUGAUUUUUUGUCAUGGCAGAUUUGCCAUAUUUCAUUUGAGGGGAUUAAAUAUGUGUUUAUAUACCUUUUGCCAUUGUUAAAAACAAUACAAUGGCAAAUAGUUUGGUCAAACUUGAAUGGCAAUUUUUUUGCUUUUUUCAGUAGCUGAGCAAAAUCUGGGCUUUUUUUUGUCACAAAGAAAACCAAAAUCUGGGCCUUUUCAUUUAAUUCGUUGUCAGUGGGCCUUUUGUUCCUUUUUUUCACAUGGAAAAGGGCCUGGUGUGAUCGAGGCGUGUGGGGCUGUGGGUUCACCUUGACGAACGAAUUCGUGCAGGGAAUCAAUCCCCUCGUACUGAACGAGUCGUGUGGUAGGGUGCUCCUCCUGCCACACGUGUGGGCAGUUCUAAUAUCCGCCCACACAGGGCCGUGUGGGCUGCCUGCUGGAUAUGCCACACAGGGCCGUGUGGGCAGGUGUCCAUUGUACCACACGUGUGGCAGUUAUCGGCGUCUAAAGAAAAAGUCAAAAAAAUUGUAUGAUUACCUUUGAUUCAUAGGAUACAACUAGUUUGUUGUUUUCCGGAUUUGGGAGGCUCUUUUUCCUCAUCCCUUAUCUGUUCAAGUUGCAGCCGACAACCGUGGGUUCCUCCUCUGGCGGCGCCUUUAAAAUUUAAAGCUGAUAGGGUGUUAUGGCAUCUUCAAUGCUGACCCUCAAAUCCUUCGCGUCUUUUGUGAUAAUUCGGAUAUGUUUUGUCACUCAAUAUUAUUAGUUCGUGGACACGUUUGGACGUCCGAAUUCCAACAAAGUGAUAGCAAACCUGUGGGCUUUAGGGAGUCCGGACAUCCACCUAGCCAACCGAAGGCCACCAUGUAUACAUGCACUCCACCCCUCUCUCCUUAACCACGACAUGCACAUGUUCAAGAUUGGCAUCACACAACUUGCCCUUAUCUAUUCCGCACAAAACAUACAUGAGUAAUUACUCAUCUUGUCAAGAGAUACUUUAGCGAGUGCAGCUAUUUGGCUCCCGAGCUCAUCUGCUCCCGCAGUGAACAGUAAAUUCAGAAACAAUACUAGAAAAAUUAAAAAAAUCGAAAACUUUUUACAUGGAAGAUGCUCAAGGUGUGUGAGGUCUGCUCCAAAUUUCAGCUCUUUUUGACAUCUAAGUAGCUCUCGGCAAAAAGACAAAAUUGGGUUUGUGAAACAGUUUACUGUGCAUCUACUGUUCUGAUCCAAUUUGUCUUUUUUGCUGAGAGUUCCUCAUAUGUCAAAUGAUCUGAAAUUUGGAGCGGACCUAACGCACCAAAUCAUCUUCCAUGCAAAAAAAUAAUAUUUUUUUUGGAUUUUGUAAUUGUUUUUUUUUUCUCUUAACCGGUUGCAGAUGAGCAUGGGCUCAGAAAUGGAUAUUCACUCUACAAUUCUUAUCGCUACAAAGAUUAUACAAUCUGGGAUAGGUAAGCAAACAUCCCCGAUCCAGAGAUCUUACCAAAACCUGGUUCUCUCACCAUUGAAGAACUUUUUUUCCUACAAAACUUUAAAAGGACAUCUUUUACUUUCAUUAAUCCAAACCAGAAGUGGGAGUGCACAGGUUUCAAUUUACACCGAGAUAAAGUAACAUUACUAAGGUAUUUAAUCCUAAUUAAUUCCUACCAUAAACCCUCCUCGUUUUCGAGCUUCCACGGUAAUCUACCCCCUCUUUAAGGAAAUAUAAAAGCGUUUAGAUCACUAAAGUACUGAUCUAAACGCUCUUAUAUUUCUUUACGGAGGGAGUACUAAGUAGAUAAGUCUAACACCCCUGCUUUCUAGGUUGACAAAUCUCCUGCCAAUUAACUACCCCCUCCGUUCCUAAAUAUUUAUCUUUUUAGAGAUUUCAAAUGGACUACCACAUACGGAUGUAUAUAGACAUAUUUUAGAGUGUAGAUUCACUCAUUUUGCUCCGUAUGUAGUCACUUGUUGAAAUCUCUAGAAAGACAAAUAUUUAGGAACAGAGGGAGUAGAUGGUACUUCUUAAUAUUCUCAUCUUCCUGCCAAAUCAUUAUUUUCUCAUUCUCUUCCCAGGACCAAUGGGCAGAUCAUACAUAUAUAAAAUGUAUAAACGCACAUUACUAACACAAGAUCUACUCCCUCCGUCACAUAAUAUAAGACGUUUUUGUUUUUGCAAGCUAAAACAGCUUGCAGAAACAUCUUAUAUUGUGGGACGGAGGGACUAAGUAAUAAUAAUCUAUCGCCAGAACACAUCAGUUUCCCUUUCCCAGUUCCAGCUUUGUUCUCUACUUUUUCCUCUGAAUCUUUCCAAUCACUAUUUCUUAACUUUCUACACAAGUAAAUAUAGAUCUAUACUCCAAAACUCUAUCCUUAGCUUUACCCGACCAAAGGAGCAAUGAGACCAUAUUCUACAACUCUAUUAAUAAGUACCGAGAAGACAUCCACUACAGUGUUAAACAAUAUGGGGAACAGAGGGUCCCCUUGCCUCAAACCUUUUCUAGUGGGAAAAUAGGUAUGAAUAUUCUCACUGACCAUAAUAGCCACCUUACCAUCGUUAACAGUACUCAUAAGUCAUAACCCACUUUACAAAUUUAAUUGGGAACCCUUUCAUAACCAUCACCUUUUCUAAAAAUCCUAGUUAAUUUUGUCCUUUCUUAAAAUCAAGCUUGAAAUUAACAGCACUUCUUUUCUUAACUCUAAUCUCAUGAAUUAUCUCACGCAACAAUAGCACACCAUCUAAAAUAAACAUAUUUCUCACAAAAGCCGUCUGCGCAGGGGAUAUAAUCUUAUCAGCUACAACAACGGCUCUGCUUUGACCACAGUAAAAGUCGUAAAAAGAACAUUUAGCAAACAUAUAGGCCUAUAUCUUUGGAUCAUCAUUCCCUUUAGGCAACAAAGUAAUAAUGCCAUAGUUAAGUCUUCCUACAUCCAACUUUCCAUUAAAAAAAUCAUGAAACAGAGGCAUCAAAUCAUCACAACUCAAGUCCCAGAAAUGCUGGAAAAAGUCUGGGAAACCCAUCAGGACCUGGGGAUUUAUUAUGUUUCAUCUGGAAAACAUCAUGUUUUACUUCCUCAACUGUAAAAGGUUUGAUCAGCAACUGCUUAUCUAUAUCAUCAAGCACACAUUGUGAAGGAACAUCUAAAGAGACAUUAAUAACACUAGCCUCUGGACCAAAGAGCUCUCUAGGGUAUUUAAUGGCAUACUUAAGUAGUAUGUUAUCAUCCCCUACAAUCAAACCCUCCUCUUGUUGUAGAGAUAAUAAAAUCUUAUGUUUCUUCCGUUUUCUACCACUAGCUUUAGCCAUAAAAUAUUUAGUAAGAGAAUUUCCCUGGAGCAGGUCAGUGUCAUUUGACCUCUGAUACCACUUCACCAGCUCCUCCUUUCUAAUAUGUUGUUACUGCACAUCUAGAAUUUUUCUAGUCUUAUACUUGUCUACAGAUAAAGCAUAAUUUCACUCUCUUUGUCUAUAUCAUCGAUAGCAGUUUCCAAAAUUUUCUUCUGUUUUCUAUAAAAACUUUCAUAGUUAAUGUUCCAUUCUUUCAACUUUUUUGUCACUACUCUAGCUCUAUUCUGCCACUUAUCUAACUUAGUUGUAUCAAAAUGAAAUGCAUUCCAAACUUUGCUGGCCACCUCACUUAGAUGCUCUCUAAGAAACCAGCAUAACUCAAACUUAAAAGGCUUUACAAUUUUAGGGAUAUUUAAUGCCAAAUUAACAACUAAAGGCAAAUGAUCAGAGAUAGUUCAAGGCAAGAUUUUAGGAAACAUUUGCUCCUACCCAUUUACCAUUAUAAUCUUGUCCAAUUUGUUAAAUAAAGCAGAGCUAUGGUUAUUACACCAAGUAAAACAACCACCUGCAAUCUCCACCUCUUUACACUCACAAUGCUCAAUAAUAGUACUAAAAGAUUAGACCAUUUAUUUAAUCUCCUAGCCCGACUGCUAUCACUAAUUUUCCUAAUCAAAUUAAUGUCUCAUCCAACUAACAGAGGGAGCUCAUUACAAUAAAAAAUAUGCACUAGCUCAACCAAACAGGCUUCCUUGUCUCUUCCAUGAGCAGCCCCAUACACAGUAGCUAAAUUCCAUUUGUUAUUAGAGCUUUUCUCUCAAACUAUCAUUCUAGCAUGAAAAUCACCUGAUUCAGCUUCCAUUACUUCAAAGCAACCACUAUCCACUCCUAACAUAAUACCACCACUCAGUUCUACUGAUGGAACACAUACCCAGGAAAAAUUCUUUCUACCACUAAUAUUAUUUAACCAAUCAGCACCAUAACUAGUCUUCUUUGUUUCCUGCACACCUACAAAUAAAAUAUUAUGUUCUACAAUAGUUUCUUUAAGAAACUUUACUUUAUUAGCCUCCCCCAUACCUCUAGCUACAUUAAAACUAUUUUUCUUAGAGCCACUACAAAGCAAAUCUUUACUGCUCUUACCAGGACUAGCCUCAAAUAGAUUGCAUCUAGGUUCUUCUAGUUUCUUUAAAACUUCUACAGGUUGCUUAAUUUCCUUCUCAUUUCCACCGAAUUUAACACCCACAGUAGCAGCUAAACUUAAUACUUUUUCAUGUGCAGCAUUUAAAACUGUAGGAAAUAUUAAGGAAGUAGACUCACCAAUUGGAAAUUCCAAAUUCUUCACUUUAGCCCUGUCCAUUGCUUUCUCCAUUACAUGCUUAUUUGUGACAUUCCUGCUAGUCCUCCUCCUAUUCUCAUCCACUAUAUUAUCCUUUUCCUUGCUGACAUUUCUCAACACAGCUCCAGGCUCCACUUUUUUUGCUUGUAAGGACUGGUCUCUAUUUGAAUUUUCCUCCCCAAAAUCACCUCCAACCAGUUGCUAACCUAUAGCCUCCUGCUCCUCAUCAAGUCCUCUGUUUACCUCUGCAAUCACUUGUGUACUAAGCCCCAGUCCUCUUGCAAAGCUGUCAGGAUCAUCCUGCAUAUCCUGAGAGAGCCCCUGGUUAUUAGCACUAGAGACACUUCUUCCUCAGUAUCUGAGCAUUCCACACCAUCCAACAUUCUGGUAUCUUUUGCAGAUUGUUUAUUUAUUUCCUCGACUUCAGUUACCUGCUGCUGUCCCAGCAUAUUUUUUGUUUUGUAACAUUUUUUGUCCUCCUUUCUUCCACAGUGAAUACAAAACAGGACAGUUUUACACUCUUUCACUGCAUCUACGUGCCUGGGUUGAGCACAGCGAAAACAUCCAGCCUUCUGCCCCUCUUCAUUACCAGUACCCCCUGAUGCUUGUGGUUCAUACAUAACCUAUCACCUAACUAGUGCAUCCUUAGUUACUGCCUCAUUGUACUGACCACAGCUAGCAACAGAAAUCUAAAAUAUCACUAAUAAAUAUGUUGAAAUGGUUACAGUAGACACAAGGACGGCUAGAAAAAUGCACGGGUUUAGUAGAUUCAUAAAUGUUUAAACUAUCCAUGAAACAGGAAAGAAAAAAAAAUGUUAACAGAGGGAAUGAUACAUCGCCAUGUUGCUUUGAGGCUGCUGUCCAACAAGUUGUGCCACUCGGUCAGGGAUUGAUAAUACGAUUACAAUUUCACAUUAAAUGGUAAAUCGAUCCACUCAUUCAGAAUUUUUAACAAACAAUUAGAACUGACAACCGACUAAUAAUAAACUAAUUUGGGAGAACUUCCAAACACCUACCGCACCAAAUCACCGACAACAUGUUCAAUCAGUGUAAUACACAUACACAAACCAGACAAACAAGACAAU
Molecule: long non-coding RNA, 6174 nt
Filed under: Triticum aestivum (bread wheat)
Lineage: Eukaryota; Viridiplantae; Streptophyta; Magnoliopsida; Poales; Poaceae
Description: long non-coding RNA (TAES_LNC024673)
Source: RNAcentral